UUGAAAACAUUCAAGUACGGAAUAAACCAUUACUGCGAAUACGCUCCUAUGACACAAGAACAAUCUCUGAGCUUCUUUGAGGAUGUCCAGAUGACUGCUGACUGCACUAAUUGCAUCAAUCAUGCAUCCAUACAGGUUAUUUCUAUAAAAUAGUGGUCGCUAGUUAUGAGGCAUUAAGCCUUCAUGGAUAUAGACAGACUAUUCCACCUAAGUGAUCUGGCAGAAGCUUAGUUUUCUACCACAACAUCCACCGUCCUCCCUCCCUCCCUUCCUAGCUGGUCAGAAAAGCUACUCAGAAUAAAGACUACAUUUCCCAGCCAUCUUUGCAGCUAGGUUUAUCCACCUGACUAAAUUCCACCGGACUGCCACAAGAACAUGAAGUCCAGAGCUCCAGCAGCUGUUGGAACCACGAUGUGACCCUGAAGGCAGGAAACAGCUUUGGAAGGCAGGACCUCACUCUGUCACUCAGGCUGUAGUGCAGUGGUGUGAUCUCAGCUCACUGCAGCCUCAACCUCCUGGGCUCAAGUGAUCCUACCACAGCUUCUUGAGUAGCUGGGACUACAGUAACUCCAGGUUGAAGAACUUCUACUUAUAGGCGUCUAUUCAACAAAGACAAAUCCUGGAAAGGGGAUGGAAAUGAUGGCUCACGUCUUAGCAAACUACCAGUACAUCUACUAGAACUGGAACUGAUCCGAGAGGACAGGGAAGUCAGUGUGGGCGGCUCUAAGGAGCCUCCCUCUCUACAGCUGCGGCUCAGAGGAUUACGGCGCUUCAUCCACAAGGCAACAUUGCACAAGUAGCUUUUGAACAAAAGUCAUGGAUACUAUUAAUGAUAUGGUAAUCCUUAAUCGAGCUACCUCCCAGUAGUGAUUAUACUGACAUGGGAAGAAUAUCUAAGUCGUGGAGGCAGCCCACAACAACACUGUGUCAUUGUUCACCCCGGGCUCGACCAGGACUAACUUUUACCAGCAUCUCUAACGUCACCUUUCCCUUGAUGCCUCCCCACAACCCCUGGCCCCAGCUCCCACUCCCACCCCAUCAUAGCAAAAAAGUAGCAAAGAAAACCCUGAUCCUAAAUCUUUUUUAGAUUCGUUUUUGCAAGUUCCCACACACAUUUAGUGUCGUCUCAAAAUUCACGCUGUCAACUGUCUCUAGGAAUCAUUUCCAACUGAGAACAGACCACACAAAG
RNAcentral lists this long non-coding RNA (1189 nucleotides) under Pongo abelii (Sumatran orangutan). RNAcentral's name for it is "lincRNA". Lineage: Eukaryota; Metazoa; Chordata; Mammalia; Primates; Hominidae. The record is from RNAcentral.